Molecule: ribosomal RNA, 253 nt
Filed under: uncultured bacterium
Lineage: Bacteria
Description: partial 16S ribosomal RNA
Rfam family: Bacterial small subunit ribosomal RNA
Source: RNAcentral
UACGUAGGGUGCAAGCGUUGUCCGGAAUUAUUGGGCGUAAAGAGCUCGUAGGCGGUUUGUCGCGUCUGCUGUGAAAACUCGGGGCUUAACUCCGGGCCUGCAGUGGGUACGGGCCGACUAGAGUGAUGUAGGGGAGACUGGAAUUCCUGGUGUAGCGGUGAAAUGCGCAGAUAUCAGGAGGAACACCGAUGGCGAAGGCAGGUCUCUGGGCAUUAACUGACGCUGAGGAGCGAAAGCAUGGGGAGCGAACAGG